Molecule: ribosomal RNA, 550 nt
Filed under: uncultured bacterium
Lineage: Bacteria
Description: bacterial SSU rRNA
Rfam family: Bacterial small subunit ribosomal RNA
Source: RNAcentral
UGAGGAAUAUUGCGCAAUGGGGGAAACCCUGACGCAGCAACGCCGCGUGGGUGAAGAGGGCCUUCGGGUCGUAAAGCCCUUUCGGACGGGACGAACGCUCCGCGGUGACAACCCGCGGAGCCUGACGGUACCGUAAGAAGAAGCACCGGCUAACUCCGUGCCAGCAGCCGCGGUAAUACGGAGGGUGCAAGCGUUGUUCGGAAUUACUGGGCGUAAAGCGCGUGUAGGCGGCCUUGCAAGCCAGACGUGAAAGCCCCCGGCUUAACCGGGGAAGUGCGUCUGGAACUGCUCGGCUCGAGUACGGGAGAGGGAGGCGGAAUUCCCAGUGUAGAGGUGAAAUUCGUAGAUAUUGGGAGGAACACCGGUGGCGAAAGCGGCCUCCUGGACCGAUACUGACGCUGAGACGCGAAAGCGUGGGGAGCAAACAGGAUUAGAUACCCUGGUAGUCCACGCGGUAAACGAUGGGCACUAGGUGUGGGGGGUAUCCACUCCUCCCGUGCCGCAGCUAACGCAUUAAGUGCCCCGCCUGGGGAGUACGGCCGCAAGGUUA